This 548-nucleotide ribosomal RNA is filed under the name Campylobacter jejuni. Its description in RNAcentral is "partial 23S ribosomal RNA". It matches the Rfam family "Bacterial large subunit ribosomal RNA", at positions 1 to 568 of the family's 2925-position model. The record is from RNAcentral. Lineage: Bacteria; Pseudomonadati; Campylobacterota; Epsilonproteobacteria; Campylobacterales; Campylobacteraceae.
AAAGGUAAGCUACUAAGAGCGAAUGGUGGAUGCCUUGACUGGUAAAGGCGAUGAAGGACGUACUAGACUGCGAUAAGCUACGGGGAGCUGUCAAGAAGCUUUGAUCCGUAGAUUUCCGAAUGGGGCAACCCAAUGUAUAGAGAUAUGCAUUACCUAUAUAGGAGCGAACGAGGGGAAUUGAAACAUCUUAGUACCCUCAGGAAAAGAAAUCAAUAGAGAUUGCGUCAGUAGCGGCGAGCGAAAGCGCAAGAGGGCAAACCCAGUGCUUGCACUGGGGGUUGUAGGACUGCAAUGUGCAAGAGGUAAGUUUAGCAGAACAUUCUGGAAAGUAUAACCAUAGAGGGUGAUAGUCCCGUAUGCGAAAAACAAACCUUAGCUAGCAGUAUCCUGAGUAGGGCGGGACACGAGGAAUCCUGUCUGAAUCCGGGUCGACCACGAUCCAACCCUAAAUACUAAUACCAGAUCGAUAGUGCACAAGUACCGUGAGGGAAAGGUGAAAAGAACUGAGGUGAUCAGAGUGAAAUAGAACCUGAAACCAUUUGCUUACA